This 433-nucleotide ribosomal RNA is filed under the name uncultured bacterium. Its description in RNAcentral is "partial 16S ribosomal RNA". It matches the Rfam family "Bacterial small subunit ribosomal RNA", at positions 30 to 507 of the family's 1533-position model. The record is from RNAcentral.
AACGAACGCUGGCGGCAUGCCUAACACAUGCAAGUCGAACGAGACCUUCGGGUCUAGUGGCGCACGGGUGCGUAACGCGUGGGAACCUGCCCUUAGGUUCGGAAUAACUCCCCGAAAGGGGUGCUAAUACCGGAUAAUGUCUUCGAACCAAAGAUUUAUCGCCUUUGGAUGGGCCCGCGUUGGAUUAGCUAGUUGGUAGGGUAAAAGCCUACCAAGGCGACGAUCCAUAGCUGGUCUGAGAGGAUGAUCAGCCACACUGGGACUGAGACACGGCCCAGACCCCGACGGGGGGAGGAGGGGGGAAUUAGGGAAAAAGGGGGAAAGGCUGAAACAAGAAGGGCGGGGGGAGGAAGAAGGCCUUAGGGUUUGAAAAGCUUUUUACCCGGGGAGAAAAAGAAAAGUACGGGAAAAAAAAGCCCCGGCAAACUCCGUG